This 482-nucleotide ribosomal RNA is filed under the name uncultured bacterium. RNAcentral describes it as "partial 16S ribosomal RNA". It matches the Rfam family "Bacterial small subunit ribosomal RNA", at positions 30 to 507 of the family's 1533-position model. The record is from RNAcentral.
AUUGAACGCUGGCGGCAUGCCUUACACAUGCAAGUCGAACGGUAACGGGCCUUCGGGUGCCGCCGAGUGGCGAACGGGUGAGUAAUACAUCGGAACGUGCCCGAUCUUGGGGGAUAACGAGGCGAAAGCUUUGCUAAUACCGCAUACGAUCUACGGAUGAAAGCAGGGGACCGCAAGGCCUUGCGCGGACGGAGCGGCCGAUGGCAGAUUAGGUAGUUGGUGGGAUAAAAGCUUACCAAGCCGACGAUCUGUAGCUGGUCUGAGAGGAUGAUCAGCCACACUGGGACUGAGACACGGCCCAGACUCCUACGGGAGGCAGCAGUGGGGAAUUUUGGACAAUGGGCGCAAGCCUGAUCCAGCCAUGCCGCGUGCAGGAUGAAGGCCUUCGGGUUGUAAACUGCUUUUGUACGGAACGAAAAGCCUUCUUUUAAUACAGGAGGGUCAUGACGGUACCGUAAGAAUAAGCACCGGCUAACUACGUG